Lonchura striata (white-rumped munia) is the source of this 1574-nucleotide non-coding RNA. The record is from RefSeq and is a predicted model, not a curated record. NCBI's taxonomy places the organism in Eukaryota, Metazoa, Chordata, Aves, Passeriformes, Estrildidae.
UUUUUUUUUUUUGGCUUUAAAGCUUAGGAUCCCAGACCUCACCAGACUGGCUAUUUUUGUUGCUAUUCUUUUAAUGUCAUACCUGUUUCUGUUUAAUUUCUGUGUUGCCUGUGACACAACACAGCUGAGAUGGCAACUGCCAUCUCGUUACUGUGAGAGCAGAGCCCGACAGAGCGAUGGCUUUGCUGUGCAGGCAGGGAUGUCCCAGGCAACAGAGACUGUCUCCCUUGCAACGUGAGCCUUGGGACCCUGCCAAGCUCCCCACGAGUUAAUCUCGUUUGAUUUUAUACCGCUCUGCAGCACUGAAAUGUGUUCGAUGCUCACUUGCUUCCUCCACCUCAACUGUAAAUAGUCACGUUUCAAAGCAAACAGCAGGGCUCUGCCUACCAUGUUCUCUCAUCUGUGCUGAUUUGUGAUGGUUUAACUCCUGCAGGAUUUCCUGCAGAGAUGAAGGGGUUUGUGCACAGUGGCCAUUCAUCUUUCUCAAUUAAGAAAGAGUUCAGUUUUUAACUUGCCAGUCUCAUCUUUCCUAGGAAAUAGGGAAGCAUCCCUCUUUCAGUCUUAUACAAGGCAAAACUCUGAAAUGAGAAACUUAACUUCCAGUUUCUCCAUUGUUUUAUAGUGUAAUUAAGCUUUUUUUUUUUUUUUAAUCCAAGUGUAAAUAUUGUGAGAUUGGAACAGGAGAGAGAGUUAAUACUGCUUUUACACUCUUUCCUGAAAUGGCUUUCAGCUCUUUGUGCUAAAAAAAUAAAAUCCAAAAACAAAAAUGGACAGAACAAAUCUAACAUCCUUGUGCCAUGAAAAAAUUUCUGGAGAACAUUUAUAGGAAAAACUUUUGAUUUAACACAAUAAAUAAGUUUUUUAAUGCUAGGAAAACAGCUUUAUCAAAUGCUGACAGGACACAGAAAUGGUUUGGAGAAAGCAAAGUUUGUAUACGUUGAAUGUAUAAAUGAAUUUGCCUUUUCUGGAGUUGUAUGGUACAUAGAAAGAGACUUUAAAAAUAAGUUUUUACUUUUGGGAAGUGUUUUGUUGAUUUUGCUCUCUUUUGACUUUCUAAUUAACUCCAAGUGUCCCUGGAUGCAUCUUGGGACUUGGAGAGCAGUGUUUACAUUCACUUGCAUUUUCAGAACUGAAUCCUCAAGAGGUGAGGAAAGCAAAUAAACUGUGCUUUAAUGUAAAAAAACAAAACAAAACAAAAACAAAACCAAACCACAAGCAGAAAUUGCUAUAAUGGAUGAUUAUUUUUAUUAAAUAAAAAAGCGUUUACAGAUCAAGUGUGAAAAUCCUCUGAAUAACGUUAGCUGUUUUAUUUUGUUGUAUUUUAUUUUCUGAACCAUUCAGCGAUCUGCCGGUACCUUUGGUUUUGCCAUUUUUUGAAGAACACACUGGGAAAAGCACUCGUGUUGUCUGAAAGGGAUUGUCAGCCCAGAAAAAAAGAAAAAGACAAGCUUCUUGUUGCUGGACAUCUCUGAUAAAAUAAUUUCUGGUGGAGGCUGCCUUUUCUUCAUCUGUGGAUGUGGCAUUGCUGCAAAGUAUUCAUCUUAAGUUUGAUACCUUAAGGUGUUACUGAAAGA